Molecule: ribosomal RNA, 552 nt
Filed under: Triticum aestivum (bread wheat)
Lineage: Eukaryota; Viridiplantae; Streptophyta; Magnoliopsida; Poales; Poaceae
Description: partial small subunit ribosomal RNA
Source: RNAcentral
AUGCUUCCUCGGAAUAUCGGCGUUGAUGUCGAGUAUACCAGGGAAGACAAACCUCCGCAAAUUGCUGCAGUUCUGCAAUUAUGCGUGGAGGAUCUCGUCCUGGUAUACCACAUCACCGCGGCAACCAAAUGGCCCAAGGAACUUCGCCCGCUCCUGCAGGAGAAGAAGUUGUACACCUUUGUUGGCUUCUCCAUUGGAGGCGACAAGGAGAAGCUGAAGUUGUCUGGUUUAGAGAUCAACCCCGACAAGUACGUCGACUUGCAGCGCAAAUGGAGAGUUCCAAACAAUGGAAAGAAGUGGCAGUCUUUGGCUGAGUUUGCAGGCAGCCUCAUCCACCCAUCCUACAAGGAAAUGAAGCAGAAGAUCGACAGGAAAUCGGACCACCUACUAUGGGGGGACAGCCCACUGCCAAACAAGCUCAUCGAGUACGCCGUGAAAGAUGCGUACGUCUCCUACGAGGCAUGGAAGAAAAUCGAAAUCACCAAAGAAGGUUUGGAGCUAUGGCAAGAGGCGGAGGAUCAUUGGGAUGACCCCUACUACUGGGGAUAUUGA